GCACCCCUCACCAUGAUGCUUUUCCCAGGUGGUCUCUGAGCUGAUGAAUUGCGCUGCACCUGGCCCCACAUAAUGACAAAUCUGCCCACGUUUUUUGCAGGUGGCCCAUGCGCUAUGACCAGUGGUGGGAGUGUAAAUUUAUUGCAGAAGGCAUCAUUGACCAAGGGGGUGGUUUCCGGGACAGCCUGGCAGAUAUGUCAGAAGAGCUGUGCCCUAGCUCAGCGGAUACCCCCGUGCCCCUGCCUUUCUUUGUACGCACAGCCAACCAGGGCAAUGGCACUGGUGAGGCUCGGGACAUGUAUGUACCCAACCC
RNAcentral lists this small RNA (313 nucleotides) under Pan troglodytes (chimpanzee). Its description in RNAcentral is "processed transcript". The record is from RNAcentral. Lineage: Eukaryota; Metazoa; Chordata; Mammalia; Primates; Hominidae.